UAUUGCAAUUCUUUCUACUAUGAUGCUCUAUAUUUCUGUUCUGUUAUUAAUUCUAGCAUAUUUGUUCUGUUUUUAUUUGAUAUCAUGAUGCAUUUCAAGUUGAGGAAGCCAAACGUUUAUAAUAGAGUACUUUGUCUACGUUGCAGAAUUUCUCUAUAGAGAGAUUAAACAGGUUGUUGUUGAAGAGAUAGGCCACGAAAAUGUAGUUCAGAUUGUUACUGAUAAUGGCUCAAAUUACAAGAAAGCUUGUAAAACUCUUGUUGAACAACCAGAAUUCAGUCAUAUUGUUUGGCAGCCAUGUGCAGCCCACACGGUUAAUCUAAUGCUUAAAGACAUAGGUAAGUUUCCUGAGGUUGAUGUGAUAGUCAAAAGUGCCAAGCAAAUCUGUAGGUUUUUUUAUAAUCACAACAACCUACAUGAUAGCAUGAGGAAGAACGUUGGUGGUGAGCUGAUUAAACCGAAUGCCACCCGGUUUGGAACUGUGUUUAUGUUCCUUGAGAGUUAUUUGGAGAAGAAAGAUAAAUUUAGGAAAUGGAUGGUGUCCGACGACUGGAAGAACAGUAUUUGGAAGAAUGAUGCGGACCAUGUGUUUGCUGAAGAUUUGCUAUCCAGUAACAUGUGGUGGACAGCCUUAGAAUGGGUUCUUGAUUUGCUUGAGCCACUCUAUGUAGCCCUCAGAUAUGCUGAUACACAAAAGAAAUGUACUCUAUCUGGUUUCAAGAAGACUAUGAUGACAGCCAUACAAAAGAUGAGUUCUCAUCUUGGUGGUGGGUCACAGAUGUUAGAUAGAGUCAUGAGCAAGGUGUCCCCGAGGAUGGAAGAUAUGCAAAAUGAGACACUAAUGGUUGCAGGUAGAUACUAAGUUAAUGAAACUGAAAUUUUGUUGCUUUUUUUCUUAUGGUUAUUAACUUCUCUUGAUUCUCCUUUUCUUAUACAGCUGCUGUCCUUGAUCCGUUCACACAUUAUCGGGUGAAUUUGAGCAACCUUCCAGAAUAUGCUUCUGCACUAACGGAUGCCAUCGAGAAGAUAGCAGACCCUGAGAGCGCUCUUUUGGCUAUCAAUGAAAUCAGCACUUAUAGGGAAUGUCGUGGGAGGUUUAGGCAUAGUUUGGCACGCUCUUCCGCAGAAAGAAUGGCACCAAGUAAACCACGAUACUUAUCUCCAUUGAUUAGCUCUAUUGCCUCAUGUUGCAACUUCAUUUCAGCAUCUCUAACUUUGUUUUAACCAUGCAGCUGAGUGGUGGUUCCAGUUUGGAGGGGAAGUUCCUAAUUUGCAGAAGUGGGCAUUGAGAAUUGUUUCACAGUGUGUCUCUUCAAGUGGCUGUGAGAGGAAUUGGACUGCUUUUGCCUUGGUCCACACGAAGCAAAGAAAUCGCCUUCUAUACUGCAAGCUUCACAAAAGUGUUUCUGUACGCUACAACCUGAAGGUAUGUUUGCCAUGGUCUAUGCAUAAAGUCUCAACUUAGCUAUGCUACAAGUAUUUACUUUGCUAAAUCUUGGGUUCUGUUUUUAUACAUUGUAGUUACGUGCUGAAGAAGAUGAAGAUAUUGUGAAGCUGAGUUAUAGGGAGAAGGAAAUUGAUCCAUGUGCAGUGAUGAUGGAUACAGUUAUGCAUGACGAAUCAAACCCAAUGAUGGAGUGGCUGAACGAGGAUGAAGAGCAUAUAGUCCUUGAUGGAUCUGAUGCUGCUACUGCUGUGUUGGAGGAAAUACGUCGCCUUAACUCAAGGAGGAAAGCCUCUCAUCUUGGAAGGAAGGAAAUUAGCAGGAAAGGAAAGAGGGUACGUGAAGAUGAGGAGGAUGAGUUCAUUAGCAGUGAGGAUGAUGAUGANNNNNNNNNNCAUUUUGAAAUGCAGGACUUAAGACCAACGACAUACAUCAUGUGUGGAACCAUGGCCCCAAGCACGGAGGAGGAUUUCAUUGUCGGUAUUGCAACAUGAAGAAUUCUGGAGGAGGUGCAACCCGCUUCAAAGAGCAUCUUGGCAAGAUAGUAGGUGAAGUGAAGGAGUGCCCAAAUGUUCCAAGAAAUGUGCAUGAUAUAAUGAGGAAGGCCGUGCUUGAGAUGAGGAAAAAGAAGAGGGAGAAGGAAAGUCGUAAGCUUAGAUUUGAACGUGAGUUGAUGGAUGAGAUGUACCAGAGAAAUGGUGUGAUAAAUAUUGAUGAUGAUAAAGAUGAAGAAAUUCAUAUGGCACUACGGGAGUCACUAAGAGACAGGAAUGUUCUGUUUUUACUUUAUUUUGUCUUAUUCUGGUUUUACUUUAUAUCAUGAUGCAUUUAGAGUUCUUUGUAUUAUGCCUUACUCUUGCUUUACUUGAUAUCAUCAUACAUAUUGAGUUGAACUUUUUUUACUUAUGUUUUACAGGAAUGUAUCUCGUGCAGUUGAGAGGAGGCGUGGUAGUGGCAGUGGUGUUCGCGUUUCCCUUGGGAAACAGAGUAUCACAACCUACUUUGACAAGCAAUUGUCGAGCAACAAAGUAUCAAUGCAACCCAAGAUCAGCACUGCUAUGGAUAGCAGCUCAAGGGAUGCUGUUGGCCAAGCUUGGGCGAAGUUUUUUCAUGCAAAUGACAUUGCUGGUCGAAAAGCUGACUGUCCAUAUUUUCAGGCUGCCAUGAAGAUCACUCAAAAUCUUGGUGCUGCUCCUAUUCCAACUGGAAAAGAGAUUGAUGGGAAGUAUUUAGACAAAAAUUAUGAAGAGUCUCGAGAGUGGCUGAAGCUAUUCAAGCAAGAUUGGAAGAACUAUGGUGUAACUGUUAUGUGUGACUCCUGGACUGGGCCUACUGGCAUGAGUCUUAUCAAUUUCAUGGUCUAUUGCAAUACACGGAUGUUCUUCCAUAAAUCCAUUGAUGCUUCUGGCCAGUCUCAAAAUUCAGGUUAGAUUUUUUGAGAAAGGGUUAUUUCUAGUUAAUUAUGACUAUUGCAAUUCUUUCUACUAUGAUGCUCUAUAUUUCUGUUCUGUUAUUAAUUCUAGCAUAUUUGUUCUGUUUUUAUUUGAUAUCAUGAUGCAUUUCAAGUUGAGGAAGCCAAACGUUUAUAAUAGAGUACUUUGUCUACGUUGCAGAAUUUCUCUAUAGAGAGAUUAAACAGGUUGUUGUUGAAGAGAUAGGCCACGAAAAUGUAGUUCAGAUUGUUACUGAUAAUGGCUCAAAUUACAAGAAAGCUUGUAAAACUCUUGUUGAACAACCAGAAUUCAGUCAUAUUGUUUGGCAGCCAUGUGCAGCCCACACGGUUAAUCUAAUGCUUAAAGACAUAGGUAAGUUUCCUGAGGUUGAUGUGAUAGUCAAAAGUGCCAAGCAAAUCUGUAGGUUUUUUUAUAAUCACAACAACCUACAUGAUAGCAUGAGGAAGAACGUUGGUGGUGAGCUGAUUAAACCGAAUGCCACCCGGUUUGGAACUGUGUUUAUGUUCCUUGAGAGUUAUUUGGAGAAGAAAGAUAAAUUUAGGAAAUNN
RNAcentral lists this long non-coding RNA (3446 nucleotides) under Triticum aestivum (bread wheat). Its description in RNAcentral is "long non-coding RNA (TAES_LNC006740)". Lineage: Eukaryota; Viridiplantae; Streptophyta; Magnoliopsida; Poales; Poaceae. The record is from RNAcentral.